This 566-nucleotide ribosomal RNA is filed under the name Bacillus sp. O13. RNAcentral's name for it is "bacterial SSU rRNA". It matches the Rfam family "Bacterial small subunit ribosomal RNA", at positions 520 to 1074 of the family's 1533-position model. Lineage: Bacteria; Bacillati; Bacillota; Bacilli; Caryophanales; Bacillaceae. The record is from RNAcentral.
GUAUUACUUAGGUGGCAAGCGUUGUCCGGAAUUAUUGGGCGUAAAGGGCUCGCAGGCGGUUUCUUAAGUCUGAUGUGAAAGCCCCCGGCUCAACCGGGGAGGGUCAUUGGAAACUGGGAAACUUGAGUGCAGAAGAGGAGAGUGGAAUUCCACGUGUAGCGGUGAAAUGCGUAGAGAUGUGGAGGAACACCAGUGGCGAAGGCGACUCUCUGGUCUGUAACUGACGCUGAGGAGCGAAAGCGUGGGGAGCGAACAGGAUUAGAUACCCUGGUAGUCCACGCCGUAAACGAUGAGUGCUAAGUGUUAGGGGGUUUCCGCCCCUUAGUGCUGCAGCUAACGCAUUAAGCACUCCGCCUGGGGAGUACGGUCGCAAGACUGAAACUCAAAGGAAUUGACGGGGGCCCGCACAAGCGGUGGAGCAUGUGGUUUAAUUCGAAGCAACGCGAAGAACCUUACCAGGUCUUGACAUCCUCUGACAACCCUAGAGAUAGGGCUUUCCCUUCGGGGACAGAGUGACAGGUGGUGCAUGUGUAGUCAGUCCGUAGUGCCGCCCCCCCCAGAAAAUG